This 708-nucleotide ribosomal RNA is filed under the name Escherichia coli. RNAcentral describes it as "partial 23S ribosomal RNA". It matches the Rfam family "Bacterial large subunit ribosomal RNA", at positions 375 to 1087 of the family's 2925-position model. Lineage: Bacteria; Pseudomonadati; Pseudomonadota; Gammaproteobacteria; Enterobacterales; Enterobacteriaceae. The record is from RNAcentral.
GUACACAAAAAUGCACAUACUGUGAGCUCGAUGAGUAGGGCGGGACACGUGGUAUCCUGUCUGAAUAUGGGGGGACCAUCCUCCAAGGCUAAAUACUCCUGACUGACCGAUAGUGAACCAGUACCGUGAGGGAAAGGCGAAAAGAACCCCGGCGAGGGGAGUGAAAAAGAACCUGAAACCGUGUACGUACAAGCAGUGGGAGCCUCUUAAUGGGGUGACUGCGUACCUUUUGUAUAAUGGGUCAGCGACUUAUAUUCUGUAGCAAGGUUAACCGAAUAGGGGAGCCGAAGGGAAACCGAGUCUUAACUGGGCGUUAAGUUGCAGGGUAUAGACCCGAAACCCGGUGAUCUAGCCAUGGGCAGGUUGAAGGUUGGGUAACACUAACUGGAGGACCGAACCGACUAAUGUUGAAAAAUUAGCGGAUGACUUGUGGCUGGGGGUGAAAGGCCAAUCAAACCGGGAGAUAGCUGGUUCUCCCCGAAAGCUAUUUAGGUAGCGCCUCGUGAAUUCAUCUCCGGGGGUAGAGCACUGUUUCGGCAAGGGGGUCAUCCCGACUUACCAACCCGAUGCAAACUGCGAAUACCGGAGAAUGUUAUCACGGGAGACACACGGCGGGUGCUAACGUCCGUCGUGAAGAGGGAAACAACCCAGACCGCCAGCUAAGGUCCCAAAGUCAUGGUUAAGUGGGAAACGAUGUGGGAAGGCCCA